This 712-nucleotide long non-coding RNA is filed under the name Mytilus galloprovincialis (Mediterranean mussel). The record is from RNAcentral. Lineage: Eukaryota; Metazoa; Mollusca; Bivalvia; Mytilida; Mytilidae.
GGGGAAUUCAAAAAAGAUGGCAAUAAAUAAAUGUCUUAACAGAUUAAAUUAUAAAAAUUAGUAUUCUUUUUUUUUUUAUUUAAACAUCCAAUAAUAUUUCGUAAAGAUAUUUCAUUUUGAAACACAAUAAAACGACAAACAGUUACUCCUCAAUAUUAUAUCCUGUAUGGUACCUCUUUUCAAACACGAUUAUCUCUCUUUGUUCAUGAAACACUUUAAAGUGUCGAUUUAAGCACAUGCAUCGUCAUUAAAAGAAACUUGGAAUAUUGUCAAGACACACAAUCACUUUCUUUAUUAUUUCAUUAGAAAAUUUUAUAUCAAAACACAUUAAAUCAACUAACAACUACGUAUUUAUGAUAAAUACACAAUUAAUAUCCUGUAUGGACACAGUUAUCUUUCUUUGUUUAUGAAAUGAACACUAACACAUGGUUAUCAACUUCCUGUAAACCAACAAUGAUUGAAUGAAAUAAAAAACAAACGAUAAAGUAAAUAUAUUUAUUUAUUCAUAACAAAAUAUGCCACAUUAACAAUUUAUCAAGUCACUGCAAGCACUUGACAAUCUGACUGUCUCCAGAAAACAAAUCCAGAUAUUUUUUUUUCACGGUCGUCCUGAAAACAGAAAAUAAUACAUACAUAACACGCACCCGAGUAUAACACGCAGGGACAAAGACAGAGAAAAAAACCUGCAGCUUAUUUAACGAUUUUUACGGUA